This 739-nucleotide ribosomal RNA is filed under the name uncultured Fusobacterium sp. Its description in RNAcentral is "bacterial SSU rRNA". It matches the Rfam family "Bacterial small subunit ribosomal RNA", at positions 28 to 776 of the family's 1533-position model. The record is from RNAcentral. Lineage: Bacteria; Fusobacteriati; Fusobacteriota; Fusobacteriia; Fusobacteriales; Fusobacteriaceae.
GAUGAACGCUGACAGAAUGCUUAACACAUGCAAGUCAACUUGAAUUUGGGUUUUUAACUUAGGUUUGGGUGGCGGACGGGUGAGUAACGCGUAAAGAACUUGCCUCACAGCUAGGGACAACAUUUGGAAACGAAUGCUAAUACCUAAUAUUAUGAUAAUAGGGCAUCCUAUAAUUAUGAAAGCUAUAAGCGCUGUGAGAGAGCUUUGCGUCCCAUUAGCUAGUUGGAGAGGUAACGGCUCACCAAGGCGAUGAUGGGUAGCCGGCCUGAGAGGGUGAUCGGCCACAAGGGGACUGAGACACGGCCCUUACUCCUACGGGAGGCAGCAGUGGGGAAUAUUGGACAAUGGACCAAGAGUCUGAUCCAGCAAUUCUGUGUGCACGAUGAAGUUUUUCGGAAUGUAAAGUGCUUUCAGUUGGGAAGAAAGAAAUGACGGUACCAACAGAAGAAGUGACGGCUAAAUACGUGCCAGCAGCCGCGGUAAUACGUAUGUCACGAGCGUUAUCCGGAUUUAUUGGGCGUAAAGCGCGUCUAGGUGGUUAUGUAAGUCUGAUGUGAAAAUGCAGGGCUCAACUCUGUAUUGCGUUGGAAACUGUAUAACUAGAGUACUGGAGAGGUAAGCGGGAACUACAAGUGUAGAGGUGAAAUUCGUUAUAUAUUUUGUAGGAAUGCCGAUGGGGAAAGCCAGCUUACUGGACAUAUACUGACGCUGAAGCGCGAAAGCGUGGGUAGCAAACAUG